AGUGAACGCUGGCGGUAGGCCUAACACAUGCAAGUCGAACGGCAGCACAGUAAGAGCUUGCUCUUACGGGUGGCGAGUGGCGGACGGGUGAGGAAUACAUCGGAAUCUACUUUUUCGUGGGGGAUAACGUAGGGAAACUUACGCUAAUACCGCAUACGACCUACGGGUGAAAGCAGGGGAUCUUCGGACCUUGCGCGAUUGAAUGAGCCGAUGUCGGAUUAGCUAGUUGGCGGGGUAAAGGCCCACCAAGGCGACGAUCCGUAGCUGGUCUGAGAGGAUGAUCAGCCACACUGGAAGUGAGACACGGUCCAGACUCCUACGGGAGGCAGCAGUGGGGAAUAUUGGACAAUGGGCGCAAGCCUGAUCCAGCCAUACCGCGUGGGCGAAGAAGGCCUUCGGGUUGUAAAGCCAUUUUGUUGGGAAAGAAAAGCAGCAGGUUAAUACCCCGCUGUUCUGACGGUACCCAAAGAAUAAGCACCGGCUAACUUCGUG
This 492-nucleotide ribosomal RNA is filed under the name uncultured bacterium. RNAcentral describes it as "partial 16S ribosomal RNA". It matches the Rfam family "Bacterial small subunit ribosomal RNA", at positions 29 to 507 of the family's 1533-position model. The record is from RNAcentral.